Molecule: ribosomal RNA, 492 nt
Filed under: uncultured bacterium
Lineage: Bacteria
Description: partial 16S ribosomal RNA
Rfam family: Bacterial small subunit ribosomal RNA
Source: RNAcentral
AGUGAACGCUGGCGGUAGGCCUAACACAUGCAAGUCGAACGGCAGCACAGUAAGAGCUUGCUCUUACGGGUGGCGAGUGGCGGACGGGUGAGGAAUACAUCGGAAUCUACUUUUUCGUGGGGGAUAACGUAGGGAAACUUACGCUAAUACCGCAUACGACCUACGGGUGAAAGCAGGGGAUCUUCGGACCUUUCGCGAUUGAAUGAGCCGAUGUCGGAUUAGCUAGUUGGCGGGGUAAAGGCCCACCAAGGCGACGAUCCGUAGCUGGUCUGAGAGGAUGAUCAGCCACACUGGAACUGAGACACGGUCCAGACUCCUACGGGAGGCAGCAGUGGGGAAUAUUGGACAAUGGGCGAAAGCCUGAUCCAGCAAUACCGCGUGGGUGAAGAAGGCCUUCGGGUUGUAAAGCCCUUUUGUUGGGAAAGAAAAGAAGCAGGUUAAUACCCCGCUGUUCUGACGGUACCCAAAGAAUAAGCACCGGCUAACUUCGUG